Non-coding RNA from Callorhinus ursinus (northern fur seal), 754 nucleotides. The record is from RefSeq and is a predicted model, not a curated record. NCBI's taxonomy places the organism in Eukaryota, Metazoa, Chordata, Mammalia, Carnivora, Otariidae.
GUGGUUUCAUCUAAUAUUAAUUGUUUUAACCUCUGGUGGUUUAAGUGGUUUUAUUGGCAGGAAGAUGCAGGCAGCAGCGCAUUAGCGGCGAAGGCUUCGGAUUGCGCUCACAGGGGAAACAAUGGGCUGGAAUUUGAGAAAACAAACCCAAGAUGUUAAUUAGCCGCUAAGGCACUCGGGGCAUUUUGCAAAUAUUAACAUAGCCUACUUGUAAACUCCCGAGGGCUGCGACUUCGUUAUUUGUUUGGCACGCUUUUUAUUUAUAAUGCAUUGUGGUGUCAUUUCGAGUUGUAAAUAAUUUCUCGAGAAAGUGGGGAAAAGGGUGAUCAAUAGAGAGAAAGGAAAUUCUUUUUCCUCCAUCUCACUGUGUUCUUCUGCAUUUUUGCAGACUUCCAUGGAUCUCAGAGAAAACCGUCUAUUCUAAAGAGGAACAAGGUUGAUCCACCGGCCCAGUGCAAGUACUACUUUCUCUCCAAAACCUCUUAUGCCUUCAACCCACUGAGAUUGCCCUCCUUUGAAUUCAGGUAGUAUGUGUGCUGUGUUCUUUAAAUAGAGGAGAUGAACAAUGCAUGUUGUUUGAAUUCAUUCAUUGGAUUUAUCCUAUUUAGGAAUUGGACUUGGAACAUAUCUAAUUUCCUCUCUCUUGGGAAAAUAGUUCCCAGAAUGAAGAUCGUACAUGGAGCAAAACUGAAGAUGACAUGCAUAUAACGAGAGGAAAAAAAAAUAAGCCUUUUUUUUUUUUUUUUUUUUAAAG